UGUGACAGAUAGCUUACUUACUAGACGGGUGAUUUAAAGGUAUUGUAAUCGUGUCACAUUUUAAGCUCCGCUAAAUAACUAAAAGUUAUGAAAUUUAUUUUUACUUUAAUAAUUUACCUGAUAAUUAUUUUCAAGUGGCUUGAAUUGUAAAAAAUGUAAGGAAUUAUUGAGGAACAAUCAAUGUAAAGAAGAUAUAUAUCAGUCAACACAAAUAACGAAACUAGGAUGCAGCACAUCACCGAUCCUUAAAAAAUUUUUACCAAAAUUCAACAACAAGACAAGUUCAAAAUAAUUUGUUCAAAAGAUACUGUGACAUUAGUUACUUAACAGAAAGUUGCUAUUUCAAAGAUGACGAAUCAAUUAUUAAUUCUGACAAUCUCACAACGAAAUACUUUGAAAUUCCUUCUUAUUGCGAUAUUUGUGAUUAAAUGAUAACAAACAAUAAAUGAACACGUAAUA
Molecule: long non-coding RNA, 459 nt
Organism: Condylostylus longicornis
Lineage: Eukaryota; Metazoa; Arthropoda; Insecta; Diptera; Dolichopodidae
Exons: 3
Source: RefSeq, a predicted model, not a curated record